Molecule: long non-coding RNA, 2734 nt
Organism: Prionailurus viverrinus (fishing cat)
Lineage: Eukaryota; Metazoa; Chordata; Mammalia; Carnivora; Felidae
Exons: 3
Source: RefSeq, a predicted model, not a curated record
AAGCAAGCAAGCAGGCAGGUGGUUUGGUGUUGAUCUGGAGGAGCCCCUACCUCGGGUGUCCCUGGAGGAGACACUGGAGUGGCCAGGUUUCUCCCGAGAGACGUCCCUCAAUGAAUCACAAGAAUCUGAAAGCCUGUCUCGGGCUCUGCUCCUAGGCAACCAGACCUAAGGCAGCGGGUGCUGGGAGCGGGCCUGGGAGCCAGCCUCUGAGGACAGGAUGCUAGGGAUAGUCACUGACCGGACGGCAACGGUGCCCCAUCCCUGGGGAUAGCACGGGCAUGGGACAGCCAUGAUUCGCUAUGACUUCCACCUGCAGAAAACUGGUAAGGGGGCUGCACCAUCUGGGGCAAUCUGGCAUUUGGGAGUUAAGAGGAAACAGUAAGCAUUAAGCCUAUGGAAUGGAGCGGCCAUUGCUAAGUGCCAUCGACUCACUCAAGAAAGGAAAUUGCAUUCUCAAAUGUCUUACUCGGCCAUUUAAAACAAAGUGUGAGAGUCCGAGGAAAGCACUGAAGGAAGGAAGCAUCGAAGCACGUAUCUCCUGCAGCUGGAGUGCAAAUCAGGCUUGCACAAUCUGGGCUCAGGACCAGAGUGUCGUGGAGACAGAGAUCAAGUUACACGUGAGCCCACCAGCUUGGGUUUCCUCUCUCGAAGGCUGAUCCAGCUGCUGCCCUGGCUGAAUUCUGACCUGUCAUCAACAGAGACCGGGCCGACCCUCUGAGACGUGAACACCCCGUGAGGAGACCAGCUAGCCCUUCGGUGGCAAGUUUAUCACCUAGGACCUCUUCCACCCUAGAAAGGGCAGUGGUCCACUCUGUCCAGGAUCGAUGGCUAGUCUGAGAAUGGGUCUGCCUCUCCUUCUUAUGGAGCCUUAGGUCGCCACCACUGUCUGAAAGCUCACGGACACAGGCUCUCAUACAACAUCACUACAGACAGAGAGAGCCUACUUACAGAAAGGCGGUGUGCCCGUGGAUACAUUCUGAUAGGUUCCACUGGCCCUACCACAGGGUGCACCAUGCCGAUCUCAUGGAUGGUAGAAUGGCCUCUUCGAGAUGCAGCUGAGGUACCAAAGGGGUGGCAUCCUGGGAGAAUGGGCUGCCACUCUCCAGGUCACACUGCACAUGGCAAAGCAAUGACCACCCCGUGUCUGCCAACAGGCAGACACAUUAAACUCAAUGUGAGAAGCAAGUGGAUCUGAGCGGGGCAAGGGGAGGACUGUACGAACACCAAUGCUCCACCAGAUCCCCUCUGCUGGGCCCAGGCACCCCUCCCCCAGCUGCGGGAGUAUUGACCCUUUCUCUAGAGAAUGGCCCUGAGAAGACAGGAGCUGCGUCAUCUGGGAAGUUGCACCCUCUUGGGGGCAGCCGGCAGCCCACAAUGACCAACGCAGAGUAUGAAAUGAAUGCCAGCUCCCUUCCUUCAGGAGAGACUACUCUGUGAUGUGCUCAUGUUCUGAAGCCCUCGCUCUGGGAUCAAGCCAAGAGGGUCCUCUCCCUGCCCCACCCGCCUCUUACAGGUGGUUUCAGAAGAGCCAGCCCACAAUCCAUCAACUUCACAAGAAUCCGGGUCUCAGGCUCUGCUUCCGGAGAGCCCCAUUCAAGGCAACAGCUCUUUGUUCUCGCAUUCUCUAAAUAUUGGUCUUGCCCCCUUGUCUUAGUUGUCUUAGUCUGCAAUUUCUCUGUGUGCGUCUCAACCUCUCCUAUGACCUUAAUAACCAAGCUUUUUUGCAGUUCGUGCAUGCUUUUAUUAAUUUUUAAUAGUUCAUUUUUCCAACAACGUUGAAGUAGUCGAAAAAUAUUGAAAACCUGACAAAUAGGUAUCAUAAAACUUACAUUAUUUUAAACUUAAAUAUUUCAUUUAUACCCCAAGCAGAAUCUAUUAUCAUUUUACUUUCCUGUCUUCAAUGGGAGCAAACGCAUCAAUAAUAUCUUAAAAAUAUACAUGUUACCUAUCUGCUUUUCAACUGAGAUUUGCCAUAUUUUAUCAUUUCUCAUAAUCUAGUGACAAGUUUAAAUAAUUUCAAAGUGAUAGCAGGUUACUAAAACCUCAUUCGCAGGACCCCACUGUGUCUAUUAUUAUUAAAGAGACUAUCAAGACCACUUCUAAAUUUGGGUAAGAUUACACUAGGCAAAAUUUGUGACUCAGGUUUAGAAGAAAAAACAUGAUGGUGGUUUUUUUUUUUAAUGUAUGAAAACUGACACCUGCAUCCACUGAUUUAUACAUUUCCAAGUUCUUUCUUUUUUAUUUUCUCAUUCAGAUAUUAUAUUCAUGUAUCUUCCUAAGUUUUAAAGCACUAAUGACUUGCCUCCUUUAAUAUCUAUCCAGUCCAACGUCUUCUUUCCAUCCCUAAUGCUGUUACUGUCAUUCAAGACCACUGUCAGUUCCCAUCUGGACAAUACGCCACUGUCUCCCCUGUCUCUUUGCCCCCAGUGUUGUUCUCUUCAGAUCCAUUGUGACACAGACUUCUGUCACUCACUCAAAUUUGGUUCCCCUAAGCUUCUGGGCACCUGGAAUGAUUACACAUCCCCAUUCCUUAUAGGCGGGGCCCACGUGAACAAUUCUGGGAGAUGGGUUAUGAACCUACAUAGUGUGGGUCACCUCUAGGCCACAGCAUUUAGUUACCAUUGCGAGGAUCCCCAAUACGCCUGUCCCUGCCAUGUGACAAGGAGGCUACGUGUUUUAAAGAGUACGGUUGCAGGAUGGCAGAGCCUCUAUGAGCCUGAGUCCCUGAAUGGUU